GAUGAACGCUGGCGGCGUGCCUAAUACAUGCAAGUCGAGCGAACAGACGAGGAGCUUGCUCCUCUGACGUUAGCGGCGGACGGGUGAGUAACACGUGGAUAACCUACCUAUAAGACUGGGAUAACUUCGGGAAACCGGAGCUAAUACCGGAUAAUAUAUUGAACCGCAUGGUUCAAUAGUGAAAGACGGUUUUGCUGUCACUUAUAGAUGGAUCCGCGCCGCAUUAGCUAGUUGGUAAGGUAACGGCUUACCAAGGCAACGAUGCGUAGCCGACCUGAGAGGGUGAUCGGCCACACUGGAACUGAGACACGGUCCAGAAUCCUACGGGAGGCAGCAGUAGGGAAUCUUCCGCAAUGGGCGAAAGCCUGACGGAGCAACGCCGCGUGAGUGAUGAAGGUCUUCGGAUCGUAAAACUCUGUUAUUAGGGAAGAACAAAUGUGUAAGUAACUAUGCACGUCUUGACGGUACCUAAUCAGAAAGCCACGGCUAACUACGUG
This 497-nucleotide ribosomal RNA is filed under the name uncultured bacterium. Its description in RNAcentral is "partial 16S ribosomal RNA". It matches the Rfam family "Bacterial small subunit ribosomal RNA", at positions 28 to 507 of the family's 1533-position model. The record is from RNAcentral.